Molecule: transfer RNA, 79 nt
Filed under: Stenotrophomonas maltophilia JV3
Lineage: Bacteria; Pseudomonadati; Pseudomonadota; Gammaproteobacteria; Lysobacterales; Lysobacteraceae
Description: tRNA-Leu (TAA) (tRNA-Leu-TAA-2-1)
Source: RNAcentral
GUGGCAUAAGGAAAUCUGUGCGGACUUAAAAUCCGCCGGGGGCAACCCCAUGCCGGUUCGAUUCCGGCUCCGGGCACCA